RNAcentral lists this ribosomal RNA (455 nucleotides) under uncultured Variovorax sp. Its description in RNAcentral is "bacterial SSU rRNA". It matches the Rfam family "Bacterial small subunit ribosomal RNA", at positions 924 to 1382 of the family's 1533-position model. The record is from RNAcentral. Lineage: Bacteria; Pseudomonadati; Pseudomonadota; Betaproteobacteria; Burkholderiales; Comamonadaceae.
CACAAGCGGUGGAUGAUGUGGUUUAAUUCGAUGCAACGCGAAAACCUUACCACCUUUGACAUGUACGGAACCCUUUAGAGAUAGAGGGGUGCUCGAAAGAGAGCCGUAACACAGGUGCUGCAUGGCUGUCGUCAGCUCGUGUCGUGAGAUGUUGGGUUAAGUCCCGCAACGAGCGCAACCCUUGUCAUUAGUUGCUACAUUCAGUUGGGCACUCUAAUGAGACUGCCGGUGACAAGCCGGAGGAAGGUGGGGAUGACGUCAAGUCCUCAUGGCCCUUACGGGUUGGGCUACACACGUGCUACAAUGGCGGCGACAAUGGGCAGCGAAGGGGCGACCCGGUGCAAAUCCCAAAAAGCCGUCUCAGUUCGGAUUGUACUCUGCAACUCGAGUGCAUGAAGGUGGAAUCGCUAGUAAUCGCGUAACAGCAUGACGCGGUGAAUACGUUCCCGGGCCUU